AGUCAUUUUCGUUAAAUUAUUUGACAAAACUAAUAUGUAACAGUGUUAAUAGUAUAAAAAUAAAAAAUAAUUAAAAAAUCAAAAGUUUCAUAUAUGAAAUAUUAAUAACAAUUUCUCUUUUCACAUAUUUUAAAUUUGUAAUUUUUUUUAUUUUUUACAUUUUGAUAUUUAUAUAUAUCAAUUUUGCCUGAAAAAUAAAUGAUUAAUGGUUUGAGUAUUUUUUAUGAAACAAUUGUAAAUAUGAAAAUUUUUUUAUAUAACACAUUUAAAUAUGAGGGAUUUUAUGAUAGCAAUUUAAACAUGAAGAAUUUAAGUAUAAUAACUUUAAAAUUGAGGGACUACGGAUGUAAAUUACUACCUCUCAUCUGGUCAAGAAGCUUUUACCACAAGAAUUUUCAGGACAAUGCCGUUGCACAAGUCCAAAUCAAGCCUUAAACAAGUCGAGCCGGCGGCCAAGCAAAGCGGAGGAAAUCCCUGCCCAAUCCCAGGAUUUUGGCAAGUUGAGAUUGGCUUCAAAUAAAUUACCUUGGUUGUUUUCUCUAUCUUUAUUUAAAAUUCAGGGGCAAAUUCUCUUAAGUGAAGAAUGUAAUAAUCUGAAUUUUUUUUUUUAUAAUUAAAGUAAUUUAUUUAGUGUAUAAUUUUAAAUUUUAAUAAAAUUAAAUUAGUACACGGAGAUAUUUUAAAAA
RNAcentral lists this long non-coding RNA (686 nucleotides) under Manihot esculenta (cassava). Its description in RNAcentral is "long non-coding RNA (MESC_LNC011957)". Lineage: Eukaryota; Viridiplantae; Streptophyta; Magnoliopsida; Malpighiales; Euphorbiaceae. The record is from RNAcentral.